RNAcentral lists this long non-coding RNA (205 nucleotides) under Ananas comosus (pineapple). RNAcentral's name for it is "long non-coding RNA (ACOM_LNC008120)". Lineage: Eukaryota; Viridiplantae; Streptophyta; Magnoliopsida; Poales; Bromeliaceae. The record is from RNAcentral.
GCUGUGGAGAAGGAAAAAUUCUAGAAUGCAACGGGUAUAUUAGUGACGUGGCGUAACAAACCAAUCAAAUUAAUCCUUUUAAGAAUAUAUGUCCCAUCAUGAUUGUAAAAAAGUAUUUUUAUUGUACUUUUGUUUGAAAAGAAGGAAUGUGAUUGGCUUGUUAUUGAUGACGUGGUGCAAGUGUGACAGUGUAGAAUUCCUCGUG